RNAcentral lists this long non-coding RNA (704 nucleotides) under Citrus maxima (pomelo). Its description in RNAcentral is "long non-coding RNA (CMAX_LNC002843)". Lineage: Eukaryota; Viridiplantae; Streptophyta; Magnoliopsida; Sapindales; Rutaceae. The record is from RNAcentral.
AAAAACUAUAAACCAUUAUAUUUUAUAAAAGUAAAAAAGCCACGACUAAAUAAAUUGUCUUAAAGCAAUGGCAAUUUUCAUCGGACUGAUAAAAUCUUCCAUUCAAACUACGCUGUCGUAAUUACGCUUUGACACAUGACUUUAAGCCUAACCGACGAAAAUUUCAAACAUUUCUUCCGUAAGAUAACAAGUUGAAUGGAGCCUCAUCGGCCAUACCUUUGAAUUGUACACCUCUUUACAGCUUCCGCUCUGACCGCGCCACGUACAUACUGGUUGGUUUGGAUGUUGGGCUGACAAUCUCUUCUUCACAUAGGGUGGAUUUAGGAUUAAAGUUGCAUAAAAAUAUAAGAUUAAAAUAUUUGUUAAAUAUUAAUCGUUGUAUUUUAAAAAGUAUAUUGAUAUAUUUUUUAUUUAUAUAAUAAAAAUUUUAUUAUAUUUUUAAUAAUUUUAUUUAAAUUAUUAUUUAAAUUUUCUAUUUAUAAUAUAUUAUUAAUUUUUAUUUUAUAAUUAUAAUUUUUUUUAUAUAACAUCUGUAGUUUAAAAAUUAUAACACCUCAAUUAUAAUUCUAAACAGGUAAGUAGUUUGCAGAAAGUGAUCGUUUUGUACCUGUAAUUCCUCCCGCAAUGCCAUAUCCAUAUACAAUUUUCCAACUCCUGGACUCUCUUUUUCCUCGCUUCUAGUUCUCUGUAGGAAGCAGCAGCCU